Molecule: non-coding RNA, 177 nt
Filed under: Rubeoparvulum massiliense
Lineage: Bacteria; Bacillati; Bacillota; Bacilli; Caryophanales; Bacillaceae
Description: Lysine riboswitch
Rfam family: Lysine riboswitch aptamer
About the family: Riboswitches are metabolite binding domains within certain messenger RNAs that serve as precision sensors for their corresponding targets. Allosteric rearrangement of mRNA structure is mediated by ligand binding, and this results in modulation of gene expression.
Source: RNAcentral
AGGGCAGAGGCGCGAGGUUUAUGAGUAGUUACCUUGAGGAUGACAACGAUGAGAGGUAAACAAAAGGAUGCUUCGCCGAAGUGAUCAGCACAGUCAAGAUGUUGAUUGCUGGGGUUAUUCCGAAUAGGAAUAACACUGUCAUUGUAAAUCACCCCAUUUACAAUGGAGCACUACUUA